UACGUAGGAUGCAAGCGUUGUCCGGAAUUACUGGGCGUAAAGGGCUCGUAGGUGGCCAACUAAGUCAGACGUGAAAUUCCUCGGCCUAACCGGGGAACUGCGUCUGAUACUGGAUGGCUUGAGUUUGGGAGAGGGACGCGGAAUUCCAGGUGUAGCGGUGAAAUGCGUAGAGAUCGGGAGGAACACCGGUGGCGAAGGCGGCUCACUGGGCCGGUCCUGACGCUCAGGCGCGAAAGCGUGGGUAGCAAACAGG
Molecule: ribosomal RNA, 253 nt
Filed under: uncultured bacterium
Lineage: Bacteria
Description: partial 16S ribosomal RNA
Rfam family: Bacterial small subunit ribosomal RNA
Source: RNAcentral